This 1321-nucleotide long non-coding RNA is filed under the name Cricetulus griseus (Chinese hamster). RNAcentral's name for it is "lncRNA (ENSCGRG00015040782.1)". Lineage: Eukaryota; Metazoa; Chordata; Mammalia; Rodentia; Cricetidae. The record is from RNAcentral.
CAAGGUACUUCGGGUAAUUUGUGCCAAGUAUAUAAAUGCCAUGCUAACCUCCAUUUGCACAGACAAUGGCAUUCAUGGAUCCCUUCCUCAAUCCUUGGUACUGGAGAAACAAUUAGGAAGUAAUGGCAAAAAAAAUAGCAGCUCUCCUGCUUUGGACCUGCUCUCCCAAUGACAUGGAUAGCAUGAGUGGCCAGCGAGGUGUUCAGUGCUCUUCUCAAGUCCUUUCCAAGCUGAGUUAACCCUUUUCCAGCCCUCACCAGGCACAACCUAUUCAUACUGUGCAUUUCCCUCUUGAAGUGAGCGACCCAAGAAUAGGCCCUUGCCUGAUGUCUUUGUGGAGGCCAUCUCACUUCUGGAACAAAGCUUGGCACCUACUAUUUGCAGAACAAGUUGAGCAAACGAAGGACCGGAGUUUUGUAGUUUCUUGGCCAAGGCCUCUGAUCUUUAUGCUGUCUUCUGUCUCAUAUGAGCUCCAGGCCUCCAUGGCCACCCACAUGACAGUAAGGAGUCAAGACUGUGCCUCCUCUUAAAGAUGAUAAUCAAAACAUUAAGGUAAGGUGUUUCUCUGUCACAAUAAUAUAGGAGAUAAGCAUGGCUGGUAGGAGCAUGAGAACAACUGUCUGGUUACCAUGCAAAGGCUCCCUAGUGAGCAAAUGAGGGUAUUUCUGGCCUCAUCUGGUCUUCUCCUGUCUUACUUAGAAGGCCAUUAGUGGUGGAUACCAAGAUGGUGGUCGACUGAACAUCUCUGAAUCUUUCUCUUCCACUUACCAUGAAAAACAAACACGCAAACAAACAAAACCCUCCCUACCAGACUGUAAAAUCCACCAUUUGAGAUACUUCUUAGGGAUCAAGCACGACUCCUCCAACAUCCUUCCUGUGAGACAGAGGAUGAUCUCAGACUGCAGCUCAUUAGCAUACAAUAGCACCUCUGAGAUUUCCUUCUCUGUGUCCCAGAUGCUCUCCUGGUCUCAUAGCCAUGUUGUGCAGAAAUAUUCCUCAGAGCCUUCAAAACUCAUUGUUUUCCUUAGACUUAUCCCUUUCUUCUCCUUAUACUUGUUCCUCUUCUCUUUCAUUCCCAAAUCUCCUUUCUCCUUCCCCUGUCAUACCACAAUCUUGCAAUGUAGCUUGCCAAAGAUUUGAUGCUGACUAUGACUUCAGUCUUGAGAUCUCAAAAGAAGAGCACAAGCAUAUGAAGCCACAUAGAGAGUUUUGAGACGUCUUCUCUGUUUGCCCUUGUUUAUCCAAUACAAAGUCUCGCAGUGAUGUCAAUACUCUACAUCUGAUGUCUAAGAAAGGACAGCUAGCAUGCACUGGAGUGGCA